CGGCGGACGGGUGAGUAACACGUGGGUAACCUACCCAUAAGACUGGGAUAACUCCGGGAAACCGGGGCUAAUACCGGAUAAUAUUUUGAACUGCAUAGUUCGAAAUUGAAAGGCGGCUUCGGCUGUCACUUAUGGAUGGACCCGCGUCGCAUUAGCUAGUUGGUGAGGUAACGGCUCACCAAGGCGACGAUGCGUAGCCGACCUGAGAGGGUGAUCGGCCACACUGGGACUGAGACACGGCCCAGACUCCUACGGGAGGCAGCAGUAGGGAAUCUUCCGCAAUGGACGAAAGUCUGACGGAGCAACGCCGCGUGAGUGAUGAAGGCUUUCGGGUCGUAAAACUCUGUUGUUAGGGAAGAACAAGUGCUAGUUGAAUAAGCUGGCACCUUGACGGUACCUAACCAGAAAGCCACGGCUAACUACGUGCCAGCAGCCGCGGUAAUACGUAGGUGGCAAGCGUUAUCCGGAAUUAUUGGGCGUAAAGCGCGCGCAGGUGGUUUCUUAAGUCUGAUGUGAAAGCCCACGGCUCAACCGUGGAGGGUCAUUGGAAACUGGGAGACUUGAGUGCAGAAGAGGAAAGUGGAAUUCCAUG
Molecule: ribosomal RNA, 592 nt
Filed under: Bacillus sp. (in: firmicutes)
Lineage: Bacteria; Bacillati; Bacillota; Bacilli; Caryophanales; Bacillaceae
Description: bacterial SSU rRNA
Rfam family: Bacterial small subunit ribosomal RNA
Source: RNAcentral